GUAAGUGUUUAAGAGCGUACGGUGGAUGCCUUGGCACCAGGAGCCGAUGAAGGACGUGGGAGGCUGCGAUAUGCCUCGGGGAGCUGUCAACCGAGCUGAGAUCCGAGGAUUUCCGAAUGGGGAAACCCGGCACGAGUGAUGUCGUGUCACCUGCACCUGAAUAUAUAGGGUGUGUGGAGGGAACGUGGGGAAGUGAAACAUCUCAGUACCCACAGGAAGAGAAAACAAUUGUGAUUCCGUGAGUAGUGGCGAGCGAAAGCGGAUGAGGCUAAACCUUGGGCGUGUGAUACCCGGCAGGGGUUGCGUCUUGGGGGUUGUGGGGUUGUUCUUCCUGGUUCUGCCGGACCGGGCGUGAGUCAGAAACCGUGGCAUUAGUCGAACUGGUCUGGGAUGGCCGAUCGUAGAGGGUGAGAGUCCCGUAGACGAAAAUGUGGCGGCUCAUGUGAAUGAUGCCCGAGUAGCAGCGGGCCCGUGAAAUCUGCUGUGAAUCUGCCGGGACCACCCGGUAAGCCUGAAUACUCCCUGGUGACCGAUAGCGGACUAGUACCGUGAGGGAAAGGUGAAAAGUACCCCGGGAGGGGAGUGAAAUAGUACCUGAAACCGUGCGCUUACAAUCCGUCAGGGCCCUGUUGUGGGGUGAUGGCGUGCCUUUUGAAGAAUGAGCCUGCGAGUUAGUGGCAUGUGGCGAGGUUAACCCGUGUGGGGUAGCCGUAGCGAAAGCGAGUCCGAAUAGGGCGUUGAGUCGUGUGUUCUAGACCCGAAGCGGAGUGAUCUACCCAUGGCCAGGGUGAAGCGUCGGUAAGACGUCGUGGAGGCCCGAACCCACUUAGGUUGAAAACUGAGGGGAUGAGUUGUGGGUAGGGGUGAAAGGCCAAUCAAACUCCGUGAUAGCUGGUUCUCCCCGAAAUGCAUUUAGGUGCAGCGUUGCGUGUUUCACAUCGGAGGUAGAGCUACUGGAUGGCCUAGGGGGCCUACAAGCUUACCGAAGUCAGCCAAACUCCGAAUGCCGGUGUGUGAGAGCGUGGCAGUGAGACUGCGGGGGAUAAGCUUCGUAGUCGAGAGGGAAACAGCCCAGAUCGCCGGCUAAGGCCCCUAAGCGUGUACUAAGUGGAAAAGGAUGUGGGGUCGCGAAGACAACCAGGAGGUUGGCUUAGAAGCAGCCACCCUUGAAAGAGUGCGUAAUAGCUCACUGGUCAAGUGAUCCUGCGCCGACAAUGUAGCGGGGCUCAAGUACACCGCCGAAGCCGCGGCAUUCCAGUGUGGCCUGCUUUCGAGCCAGGUGCUGGGAUGGGUAGGGGAGCGUCGUGUCACCGGGGAAGCGGCGGCGUGAGCCAGUCGUGGAGGUGAUGCGAGUGAGAAUGCAGGCAUGAGUAGCGAAAGACGAGUGGGAAACUCGUCCGCCGAAUGACCAAGGGUUCCUGGGCCAGGUUAAUCCGCCCAGGGUGAGUCGGGACCUAAGGCGAGGCCGACAGGCGUAGUCGAUGGACAACGGGUUGAUAUUCCCGUACCCGUGUAUCCGCGCCAAGUGGUGAAUCAUCUGUGCUAAACGUCCAAAUGCGGAUGGACUUCCUUCGGGGAGCCGGAAGUGGCUGCACGUGACCCUGGGUGUAGUAGUCAAGCGAUGGGGUGACGCAGGAAGGUAGCUGGGCCAGUGAGUGGUUGUACUGGUGUAAGCCUGUAGGGUGUGGCAUAGGUAAAUCCGUGUCGCGUGUGCCUGAGAGGUGAUGCGUAGCCGAUUGAGGUGAAUUCAGUGAUCCUAUGCUGCCGAGAAAAGCCUCUAGUGAGUUGGUACACGGCCCGUACCCCAAACCGACACAGGUGGUCAGGUAGAGAAUACCGAGGCGAUCGAGAGAACUGUGGUUAAGGAACUCGGCAAAAUGCCCCCGUAACUUCGGGAGAAGGGGGACCACUGUUGGUGACGGCCCUUUGCGGUUCGAGCUGGUGGUGGUCGCAGAGACCAGAGAGAAGCGACUGUUUACUAAAAACACAGGUCCGUGCGAAGUCGUAAGACGAUGUAUACGGACUGACGCCUGCCCGGUGCCGGAAGGUUAAGAGGACCGGUUAGCCUGUGAGGGCGAAGCUGAGAAUUUAAGCCCCGGUAAACGGCGGUGGUAACUAUAACCAUCCUAAGGUAGCGAAAUUCCUUGUCGGGUAAGUUCCGACCUGCACGAAUGGCGUAACGACUUCUCUGCUGUCUCAACCACAGACUCGGCGAAAUUGCAUUACGAGUAAAGAUGCUCGUUACGCGCGGCAGGACGAAAAGACCCCGGGACCUUCACUAUAGCUUGGUAUUGGUG
Molecule: ribosomal RNA, 2297 nt
Filed under: Nocardia arizonensis
Lineage: Bacteria; Bacillati; Actinomycetota; Actinomycetes; Mycobacteriales; Nocardiaceae
Description: bacterial LSU rRNA
Rfam family: Bacterial large subunit ribosomal RNA
Source: RNAcentral